GGCCAAUAUGCCCUUAUGAGCUCCGUCCAGAGUCUGGCGGGGUGACACGUUGGUGCUGUCGAGGUUGCUGUGGUAACGAACCUCCGGCCGUUCCUGGAAGAUGCUUCCAGCUAUGCCCUGAAGAGGAGCUUGGAGGCAUUAGGGUUGGACACAGACCCAGCAGGUUCUGCACCAGGUCUGCCAAUUCAGAAAGCAGCAGCACCCUGGGUGGCUCCUCAGCUUCAUCAUUAGCAGCCUGGGCGAUGUGAGCAGCCCCACGACUGAGAUCAGGGAAGCAGCCGCCA
Long non-coding RNA from Mauremys mutica (yellowpond turtle), 284 nucleotides. RefSeq lists it as uncharacterized. Lineage: Eukaryota; Metazoa; Chordata; Testudines; Geoemydidae. The record is from RefSeq and is a predicted model, not a curated record. The transcript has 3 exons.